This 899-nucleotide ribosomal RNA is filed under the name Boeremia exigua. RNAcentral describes it as "partial large subunit ribosomal RNA". It matches the Rfam family "Eukaryotic large subunit ribosomal RNA", at positions 37 to 954 of the family's 3401-position model. The record is from RNAcentral. Lineage: Eukaryota; Fungi; Ascomycota; Dothideomycetes; Pleosporales; Didymellaceae.
AGCAUAUCAAUAAGCGGAGGAAAAGAAACCACRGGGAUUGGCGCUAGUAACGGCGAGUGAAGCGGCAACAGCUCAAAUUUGAAAUCUGGCGUCUUUGGCGUCCGAGUUGUAAUUUGCAGAGGGCGCUUUGGCAUUGGCAGCGGUCCAAGUUCCUUGGAACAGGACGUCACAGAGGGUGAGAAUCCCGUACGUGGUCGCUAGCCUUUACCGUGUAAAGCCCCUUCGACGAGUCGAGUUGUUUGGGAAUGCAGCUCUAAAUGGGAGGUAAAUUUCUUCUAAAGCUAAAUACUGGCCAGAGACCGAUAGCGCACAAGUAGAGUGAUCGAAAGAUGAAAAGCACUUUGGAAAGAGAGUUAAAAAGCACGUGAAAUUGUUGAAAGGGAAGCGCUUGCAGCCAGACUUGCCUGUAGUUGCUCAUCCGGGUUUUUACCCGGUGCACUCUUCUAUAGGCAGGCCAGCAUCAGUUUGGGCGGUUGGAUAAAGGUCUCUGUCACGUACCUCCUCUCGGGGAGAACUUAUAGGGGAGACGUAAUGCAACCAGCCUGGACUGAGGUCCGCGCAUCUGCUAGGAUGCUGGCGUAAUGGCUGUAAGCGGCCCGUCUUGAAACACGGACCAAGGAGUCUAACAUCUAUGCGAGUGUUUGGGUGUCAAGCCCGAGCGCGUAAUGAAAGUGAACGGAGGUGGGAACCUUUCGGGGUGCACCAUCGACCGAUCCUGAUGUCUUCGGAUGGAUUUGAGUAAGAGCAUAGCUGUUGGGACCCGAAAGAUGGUGAACUAUGCUUGAAUAGGGUGAAGCCAGAGGAAACUCUGGUGGAGGCUCGCAGCGGUUCUGACGUGCAAAUCGAUCGUCAAAUUUGGGCAUAGGGGCGAAAGACUAAUCGAACUAUCUAGUAGCUGG